GACGUAGGGCGCGAGCGUUGUCCGGAAUUAUUGGGCGUAAAGAGCUUGUAGGCGGUUUGUCGCGUCUGCUGUGAAAUCUCAAGGCUCAACCUUGAGCUUGCAGUGGGUACGGGCAGACUAGAGUGUGGUAGGGGAGACUGGAAUUCCUGGUGUAGCGGUGAAACGCGCAGAUAUCAGGAGGAACACCGAUGGCGAAGGCAGGUCUCUGGGCCACUACUGACGCUGAGAAGCGAAAGCAUGGGGAGCGAACAGG
RNAcentral lists this ribosomal RNA (253 nucleotides) under uncultured bacterium. RNAcentral's name for it is "partial 16S ribosomal RNA". It matches the Rfam family "Bacterial small subunit ribosomal RNA", at positions 524 to 776 of the family's 1533-position model. The record is from RNAcentral.